Long non-coding RNA from Helianthus annuus (common sunflower), 1473 nucleotides. RefSeq lists it as uncharacterized. The transcript is spliced from 4 exons. The record is from RefSeq and is a predicted model, not a curated record. Lineage: Eukaryota; Viridiplantae; Streptophyta; Magnoliopsida; Asterales; Asteraceae.
ACCCAAAUUCCCCCUAAUCCUUAAAACCUAAAUUGAGCAUCUGCCCUCUAACAUCCCUCUCUCUAUCUCGCUCUCAAACAUUCCAGCAAUAUGCAUUGUAUUUGUUCAUCGUUCAAAGAUUAGAUCUCUGUGACCUACAACUUCAUAUUUGCCCUGAGAGCUGCUCUAGCGGUGGCUGCUUAAGCGUGUCAUAUGGAUUUGGUUCUGAAAUCUGGCUUCACCUGGUCUGUUUGAAGGUGGGCCCCAUGGCUUUUUUUCCUCUCAUGCCCGCUAUGGCUUUGGCGGAGGCCAAGGAUAGCACCCCUUUGGCGUAAGCGGGGUGGUGUAGGGGGCGCUACCCAGCUGAGGUGUCUGGGGCGUUGUCCCACACCGUCCGGUCUAAGGUUAGCUGCUUCAAGAUUUUAUGCAUGUUGGCCAAACACAUUGGGGUCCUGCAUGGCCAAAAACUUUAGGCCUGGUACACAGUCUGCUGAUUACCAGUUGAAGGUGAGGUUUUUUUAGUAUUGUUUCUAUCCACAAAUGAUGAGCUCACCACAUUCACUUUAUCGAAAAGUUGUAGUUUCUUUUUUUUUUCUUAGUAGCCCAUUUUUAUAUAAUUGGUGAACGAACAAGUUUUUUACAUGAAUGUUACUAAUUCAUAAGUAAAAGGGUUUAAGUUGUUACUUUUAUAUUUUACUACACCCUUUCUUGCUUUUAAAACACUAUGGAAUAUUUUUAUAUAAAUUUAUGAACUAAUUUACUCAAAUCUUCCCAUCCGUUAUGCUUACGUUUGGUUGGAAUUUUGGAGUUAUAUUCUUGCUACAUCUUCUAUGCCUUGAGCGUAUCAUGUUAAGGAUCUUAAAGUAUCCAUGUUAUAUUCCCUUUUUGAUAGCUGUUACUUUGAUAAGUCUUUUACUUUCAUCCAUGGAACAUGCAACUGUGUGUUAAUUGAUAGAAAUAGUCACCAAAUUUAACAGCUCUUUAGCCAUUGGUGUUGGUUUUGUGAGAAAUUAAGAAACUGUUGGAAUUACUACUGGAUUUGUGAGUUGUUUUUGUUAUAAAGUGGUGUGAACUUUGGUGGUGGCCAUAUGUUUACAAGGUGUUAGUUGUGAUUGGUAAAUUGAUGUCUACUUUGUUGCACUUUGAAAGAUGUUUUUAGCUAGUAGUUAAAGGGUUAAGGGUGCGCCAGUUGCGUAGGCCCCAGGCGUGAGUUUGGUCUAGGCCAUUUGCGGCUGGUUCAGACCAUCUAAAACUAGUUUUGGCUGUUUCGGGCAGGUUUUUUAGGUUCAGACGUUUUUGUGCCAAGGUGCGCUCCUUUGGCUUCUUUGACCACAUAGGUUUUUAGUGUAUCAAAGUCUCAAAACGCAUUAGUAUUUUAGUUGCUUCUAGACUUUGUUGAUUAUGAGGAUUGUUUUAGUGAAUUUAGGUAAUCUUUUUGGUGUUUGGAUUGUUGUAAGAUUAAAUUUUCCAAUGGUUUUGAGUUAGGAAUCUUGU